GGGACAAGGUGGGCCCAGCGGGGAGCCUUGGGGCCCUGAUCGCCCCUCCUGAGCGGCUCAGACUGGGGAGUGGGGCCAGGGCGGGGCUCGGCGGCUGACUGCAGGGACACGUUUCUGUAUGACACGCUGGUGUCCGCUCGUGCUUGUGAGUGUGGAGGACGAGUGCCGGACCCCGGGUUACUUCUGUGUAACCAGCAUCGGGACCUGGAGACAGCGUCAGCGCACACCCCCAGCCGUCCUUAAACUCACCUGGGCAAGGUGCACAGCCCUGCGUGCUCGGGGGGAGGCUGCCACGCUUCCGCUCGCUGCAGUGACACAUCCCGUUGUGUUCUGAGCUGGCGGCAGCUGCUCUGCAGUCAUUGCUUGCUUUAAUCCUCAUGAGGUGCAGAUGUCAAAUUCAGACCCCAAGUUUCCAGCUGCCUGCUGUGCCCGCUGCUCCUCACCGAACUGCCAGAGACGCUGCUCCCCCUCCCCCAGUUCCCCCAGUUCCCCAGUGGCGCUGGCUCAUGCCAAUCUUUUUGGGAGGCUCCCUGUAGCCCCUGGUGGCAGCCGCUGCAGCCGCCUCCUUGGGUGUGUGGCAGGAUGUGUGCCCCUCCCUGUCCCCUCUCCCGUCAGCCCCAGAUGUGGAGUGUGAGCGAGAAACAGACGUGGGAAGCCUGGGGCUCGUCUCUGCAGCGUGGCCUGGCAGCUCAGGGCCUUGCUUGCGAGACACAUCAUCCAUCACACGCCCAGACGUAGCGCUGAGAACGUUAAAACGGCCAUCUUUGCUUUAUUGACAGGUGGAUUUUUCAAAAAUGUUCUCACAAUUCAAUAAUUACAAAGACUCAGACUUACAUUAAAAAAGUAAAACCCAGAACCCCCCGCAGGUGCCAGCCCCAGCAGAGGCCCGGGAGGGCGUGGGGUGGCAGGGUCCAGGCCCAGCGGUGCCACUCAGUGCCGACUCGCGCCAAGUGUACGUCCUGUACAGCUGUGUCGAGGAUGUCCCUGUGGGAGCAGGGAGAGGCUGGUCGGGGACCGUGCCUGCGUCUCGGGCUGUAUCUGUGUCACGAGCUGUAUCUGCUGGCCGCUUGCGACAGGCCUCGGGCGCCAGGGCCGCAGACUUGACAUGCAGUGUGACACAGGACGCUCGUGGGCAGGAGCGUGGUGGGAUUUCUACUUGAUGGACGCUGGGCUACUGGUCAUUGGGGCUCCAUGCGGGUGGGCUUCCCAGCACCUCGCCCCCAGCACCCCAGGGCCUGCCUGCGCUGGGUCACAGAUGCCAGAGAGCAGGCGCCAUGGAAGGAGGGAAAGCAGCGAGGAGGCAGUGGGCUCCCGGCAGAGGGUCCUGGUGAGACGCAGGGGCUGGGCCUGGGGCUGGGGGGGCAGACACACUGGACUCGGGAUGGGGGCCUCAGGGCAGUGGGCCUGACCCCAGCCUGAGGGUCGGCAGCAAGACCCCUGCAGCAAACACACACUGGCUGCAGGCAGAGGCCACCCGGCCUGGCUUUCCCUGGUUUUCCAGUUCUAGACACUGGGAUGACAGCCAGCUUCCGACUGCUCUCCUGGGGUCCUAGGAAGCGGGGAAGAGGAUGGGCUGCGGCAGGUCCUGAGUGGCCUGUCUCCUGGCGGGGGCUGCCUUCUGUCUGAGGCCCCCCCUGGGCGCCGGGCCUUCGUGUGCAAACGGAACAGCAUCGGCUCCUGGCUGUGCAGGCGGUGGGGACUCCCGCCGCGAAUAGAAAUCAUUAUUACAAUAAACAUUUGUCUUCAUCUUCAUAUCUA
RNA transcript from Choloepus didactylus (southern two-toed sloth), 1758 nucleotides. RefSeq lists it as uncharacterized. The transcript has 2 exons. The record is from RefSeq and is a predicted model, not a curated record. Lineage: Eukaryota; Metazoa; Chordata; Mammalia; Pilosa; Megalonychidae.